Molecule: RNA transcript, 1095 nt
Organism: Austrofundulus limnaeus
Lineage: Eukaryota; Metazoa; Chordata; Actinopteri; Cyprinodontiformes; Rivulidae
Exons: 8
Source: RefSeq, a predicted model, not a curated record
CACACAAACACUGCAUGUUACUGAGGCUAGGAAUUAACUCUGUAGUUCUAAUAAUUUGCCGUAAAAAUUGAACUCUUCCUUCAGGUGCCCUGGGAAGACAACUGUUGACACGUCAGGAACCAGAAAUCUGCACUGAUGUCUACCAUAAUUGUUCAGAUCAUCUUACUGCUGUUGGUUAGAUUUGCCCUGAGCUCACCGCUUCCAGCAGGAGGAAACAGUUCCCUGGAUAUUUUUUAUUGUGAGGCUGCAGGAUGUGCUGCCAWCGUGUCAAAGGUGUUCUGUGAUGACCAGUGUGUCUUUGAGAAUAAACACGUUGCAGAUUGCAGAGGACUUCCRUCACUUCACUCUGUCUGUCAGCAUGAUGGCCGUGCCUUUAUUUCUUUUAAAGCAACCAAAUGUGAAUUUGAGAGUAAGAGCAGCUACAUUAGCACCAUCAAAUGUACAGAUGUUGAUCCCGUCUGUUUAAAUCACACACUCAUCACAUCGACACCAGCUGUUUUAGAUGUUGAGCAGAAACCAGAGUGGACCACAGAUAAGACGAUAUGUAUCAUUUUAGUAAUCUGUAAGUUAUAAUCCUCAUGAGCUGUGAUACGCUCUGAUCAGCCUUUUUCUUUUGUUUCUGAAUGCACACAAUAAAAAUAAAUUAACAUACAACUAAACAAAUAAAAAAUAAGGAGUUGUAGUAAAAACUGCAGUAAGUGUUAGAUUUUAGAAAGCUGGCUUGUUGCUACUAACCCAACUUGCCUUUCUCUGCUUUCCUGCUUCACUGAGGGACAACAUGUUCUUAUAAAGUCUGUCAGGUGGAAUUGUACUGCUAGGAGCUCUAAUAUGGUACUGCCGUAGGAUGAGACUAACCCAAGGGCCAGACRAGCCAGCAUCAAACCCCACCAGGAACCCCAGUGAGACAGUAUCUCUACAAGGUGUUCAAACGUCUGGAGGCAUCAAUGAGAGCAGAACUGAAGAUGGCAACACCACCUUAUCGUAGCCAUGGAGAUUAAUGUCACGCACCUCAGAUCUUUGCUCUUUUUAAAUUUCUUUUUGGUUUGGGGCGGCUGUGGCGGAGUGGUUAGGGGAGUCGUUCUGGAACCGGAAGGU